GUCUUUUUGUUGUUGUUGUUGUUGCUAUUUCUUGGGCCGCUCCUGCGGCAUAUGGAGGUUCCCAGGCUAGGGGUUGAAUCGGAGCUGUAGCCACCAGCCUACGCCAGAGCCACAGCAACACGGGAUCCGAGCCGCGUCUGCAACCUACACCACAGCUCACGGCAACGCCAGAUCGUUGCGCCACAACGGGAACUCCUUUUAGUAUUUUUUUUUUUAAGCUGGGUUAGUGUGGUGCUGAAUUCUCUUAGCUUUUGCUUAUCAGUAAAGCUUUUGAUUUCUCUUUCAAAUCUGAAUGAGAGCCUUGCUGGGUAAUCUUGGUUGGUGGUUUUUUUCCUUUUAUCACUUUAAGUAUAUUGUGCCACUCCCUUCUGGCCUGCAGAGUUUCUGCUGAAAAAUCUGCAACCUUAUCAAGGCUCCCUUGUGUGUUAUUUAUUUCUUUUCCCUAGUUAUUUCAGUAUUUUCUCUUCAUCUUUAAUUUUGGUCACUUUGAUUAAUAUGUGUCUCGGGGUGUUCCCUCUUGGGUUUAUUUUAUAUGGUACUCGUUGUGCUUCCUGGAUUUGGGUAAGUGAUUCCUUUCCCAUGUUAGGGAAGUUUUUGGCUAUUAUCUCUUCAUAUUUUUUCUGGCCCUUUCUCCCUCUCUUCUCCUUCUGGCACCCCUAUGAUAUGGAUGUUGGUGCAUUUAACGUUGGGGGAUUCUCCUCCCAACACUAGAUCCCCAGGUGUGGGGGCGUGACGUGGGGCUGGGAACUCUCACUCCCUUGAGAUAUAGUGACUUUUCAGUCUGUGGGCUGUCCACCUGGCAGGAUUGGGUUGCUUAUACUGCAUAAUUGUCCCUCCUACCAUCUCAGUGUAGCCUUCUCUUUGUCUUCUGGAGUAGAGUAUCUUUUUUGAUAGUUUUCAGUCUAUUUGAUUGAAGGUUGUUCAGCAGUUGAUUGUAAUUUUGUUGCUUUUAUGAGAGAAGGCAAACUCCAGUGUUUCUGCUCCACCAUUUUAGUCCCCCAGGGGGAAUCCCUCUUGACUUCCAAGUUGCCUCUCCCAUCUCUUCCCACUUCUCCUGCUCUGGUUCCAAUUCAUCCAGCAGUAUCUGCCCUAGGAACCACAAAAUCCCAGAAGCCCCUGAGGAUAUCCUGCUUCUGGUGAUUGAUACCCAAUGCCUGCCUCCUAGAGGUUGACUGGACAGAUGCCCAAUGCCUGCUGUUUCUGCUGAUUGGACAGAGUCCUUUUCCCCAGUACCUGGUGACACUGGGUUUGCAAUACCUCAUAGAUAAUACAUGAAAACAAAACCUGUUGGUGUUUUUAGGGGAGCUUGGGGGGAGGUUCUGUUAUUUUUUUUUAGAUUAACCAAACAUAAUUUUUUUAAAAAAAUUUAUUGUAGUAUACUUGACUUACAAAGUUGUGUUAGUAUAGCAAAAUAAAUCAGUUACACAUACACAUAUAUCGGUUCCUUUUCAGACACUUUUCCUAUAUGGGUUAUUAUACCAUAUUGAAUAGAUUUUCCUGUGCUAUAGAGUAGGUCCUUGUUACCUAUCUAUUUUAUAUAUAGUAGUGUGUAUAUGUCAAUCCCAACCUCUUAAUUUACCCCUCCCCCUGACAUUUCCCCUUUGGAAACCAUAAGUUUGUUUGUUUGAUUUGGUUUGGUUUAGUUUUUGGCUAAACUAAACCAAAGUGGAAGUUCCCAGGCCAGGGAUCAAAUCCAUGCCAUAGCAAUGACCUGAGCCAUAUCAGUGACAGUGCCAGAUCCUUAACCAGAAGGACACCAGGGAACUCCAAGAUCUGUUGGUGUUUCAUUUGAGUCUUCCCUACCCUAUGUAAUCAGUGGUGGGGUCAACCAGUGAAACAGACAUAAUAUCAUACCAUGAGAAGGAAAGUAUAUCUGAUAACCUCAAAUCUGAGUACCUUUGUACUAAGGUCUUGUAGGUGCUCCAUCACCACUGAAUCAAAUUCAAGAUCCCCUGCACCCAUGAAGAUGAUACUCAAUUUGUCUUGAGUUUGUCUGGAAGGCAGAGAGCCCUAAAAAAUAUCAUGUGGGGCUCUGGAGCAGCAGAGAGAAGAUAUUAGAAAGAAGAUAAGGCAUCUAUGGAGUUUCCAUCAUGGCUCAGUGGAAAUGAACCCGACUGGGAACCAUAAGGUUGUAGGUUUGAUCCCUGGCCUUGCUCAGUGGGUUAACGAUCCAGUGUUGCCAUGAGCUGUGGUGUAGGUUGUAGACACAGCUUGGAUCCCGUGUUGCUGUGGCUGGUGGCAUAGGCCAGCAGCUAUAGCCCCGAUUAGACACCUGCCUGGGAACAUCCAUAUGCUGCAUGAGUGGCCCUAAAAGGACAAAACACAAAAAAAAAAAAAAAAGAAGAAGAAGAAGAAGUCAUCUAGAAUUGUAGAAAUACACAAAUAGUUUGCUGAAAACACAUGUUAAAUAUUAUAAUCCAAAAAUCACCAUUAGGUGAUUAAUUAGUCCUACCAAAUGUUAAACUAUAUUAGAAAGCUGUAAUAAUUUAAAUAGUGUGGUAUAAGCAGGUGAAUAGUCACACAAAUCAAUAGAACAGAAUAGAAAGCCAAGAAAUAGAACCAAAUAUGCAUGGAACUAUAGAUAUGAUAAAAGCACCAUUUCAAAUCAGUGGGGUGUAGGGUGGGAAAUGGAGUAUUUCAUAAAGUAUUAAACUGGAUACCCAUCCUAGGUAUCCCUUUGGAAAAAAAGCAAACUUGAUCUUUAUUCUUUCUGUCAAAAUUUCAAAUAGAUCAAAUAUAUAAAUAUGAAAAAUGAAAUCAUUAAAGUAUUAAGAAAAACUAUUAAAACAAAUUUUUUAAUGAUUUUUAGGUGACAAGUCCUUUCUAAUAAUAAGAUAGGAAACACAUGUAUUGUAGGCAAGAGUUUAAUUGGUUUUAUAUAUAAAGAACUCUUACAAAUCACUAAAAAAAAAAACUAAUUAACAGUUUACAGAAAGAA
RNAcentral lists this long non-coding RNA (2938 nucleotides) under Sus scrofa (pig). Its description in RNAcentral is "lncRNA (ENSSSCG00000060971.1, ENSSSCG00035018538.1)". The record is from RNAcentral. Lineage: Eukaryota; Metazoa; Chordata; Mammalia; Artiodactyla; Suidae.